AGGAUUAUGGUGAAAGUUCUUCGUGAAACGAGUCGAAUGAAGAGGAAACGGCCGAUUUUUUAAGCGAUACAACGAAGCGAGGCGAAGUACAGGAAGUUGAAUUGUUCACCCUAACUAUAAUUAGUAACGGUAUGUUUAGGAAAGCGUGAUAUUAACCGGUCAACAAUCGGUACCAAACAUUUAGUGUUUUGCCUAUCGUUAUCAGCAACAAGAUUUUAUGCAUUCGAAGUGUUAGAACGUUUCCUAUCGGAGAAAAUUCGCGAUAAAUCGACUUUAUUUCGAAUAAACGUGCUAUUUCGUUGAUUGUAGUUAGUUUAUUAUUAAAACAUCGAUAAUAUACGCGCGUAGUUUUUAAAAAUCAUUCUGGGUUAAUGAAUUGAGCUUUCUUUCCAGAUAAAUUUUCAAAUUCGUUAAUUAAUUGAUAAUAUUUGUUCUGAAAUUUCCAAGAAGAUUUUUGAAAGACAUUAAGAACGACAAGACUUGUCAUACGAAUUAAGAAGUGUACGAAUCUUUCCCUACAAUCUAGCAAUACUCUUUCUAACUCUCGUUGAAUAUUCGUGCAUUUCGCAACGCGGAGAAACGCGGACCGGUAUCCGUAUACUACGAUCGCUGUCAGAAAACUGGGGUAUGAGAACUCACGAGAGCGAGAUCCUCUAGUUAGGAUCCAACGAGUACGUUCUCAGAUUCGCUAUCAAGUCGAAAAGAAAUGAAUAGAGAGAAAUAGGCGAAGUCGAAAAAGGGAAGAAGCAAAAGGGCAAAGCCAUGGUCGUCUCUUUGUAAACGAAUAAUGGAUCAUUAUUUCUAACUCACCCAUUUAUUGUUAGAGAAAUCCAUUUUUAUUCCUUUGUCGUCACGUCCUUGUGCCAUUUAAUUUUAAGGUAGAGCCGUUUAAUGUUAUUUUUUUGGUGAAAAAUCGAAGAAUGAUUGUUUAAAGGCGCUAAGAAGGAUAACGUGAUAGCUCUCACGCGAAACGACGCUUAACUGUACGCGGAACAACUGAUACUGCACAUUCGUGGCUAAAAAAGAAACCAUACCGGUACGGACUCGUCCGGAAGUGGGUCCGGAACUCUGAUCGGCCAGCCGUAACACACGGGUAACUUGGUGAAUACACGCAGAACCAUGCGGGCAUAGCCUCGACGGCGUUGGUGCAUUCAUUUCAUCUCAACUCACCUGAACGUACCUGUUCGACUUUACUCACGAUUAUCUUAUUCAAAGUCACGAUCAAAAGCCCUUUUAAUGAUGAAUUAGAAUUACUGUUUACAUUUCGUCUAUAUUUACAUAAUGAACAUUUAUAAUGAUUUUUUUCGGAAUUAAAUAACUAUAUACUAAUAAGAAAUUUUAUAACCCUUGAACAUAGGCAACUUUAUCUUACAUACAUGUCUGUAGGAAUGGUUUGCCUACCACUUGGGGAUAAAGAAUUUUUUCUUAUUACGCUGUUCUUCGUCUCCAUUUUUAUCAUGAUUCACGCUUACGUCUAGACGUAAUAAUCCUUGACCGAUUUUGAUGAACAGGGUCUCAUUUUAAAGAUAAAGAUUUAAACGAAGAGACGAUUUAUUAUAAUUAUCGAAAAUGCUUUAUUUUCCUUCAAAAGAGUCUUAUUAAAAAAUGUUGUUCUUUCUAGAACAGUUCAUGCAUAAAAAUAAAGCUUCUUCAAAAAUUCGAAACAGCGGUCAUCUUCACGUUUAAUAGAGUAGAUUUUAAAGUAGAGUCACCGUCAGUUCAUGGGUCUCCAGAUGCAGCAAUCUCCACGUGGUGAGAUCUAGAUUUAUAGAUUAGUUAUUGCAUGUAACAAUUACAUUUAUUAUUCAUUAUGCAUUUAUAUCGUAAAAUAAAUGCAUACCGACGCUGCAUCGUAUCGCACAU
Molecule: long non-coding RNA, 1863 nt
Organism: Vespa crabro (European hornet)
Lineage: Eukaryota; Metazoa; Arthropoda; Insecta; Hymenoptera; Vespidae
Exons: 3
Source: RefSeq, a predicted model, not a curated record